Molecule: non-coding RNA, 704 nt
Filed under: Salmo salar (Atlantic salmon)
Lineage: Eukaryota; Metazoa; Chordata; Actinopteri; Salmoniformes; Salmonidae
Description: Eukaryotic large subunit ribosomal RNA
Rfam family: Eukaryotic large subunit ribosomal RNA
Source: Rfam by way of RNAcentral
CCCGCUGAAUUUAAGCAUAUUACUAAGCGGAGAAAAAGAAACUAACCAGGAUUGCCUCAGUAGCGGCGAGCGAAGAGGGAAGGGCCCAGCGCCGAAUCCUGUCCGACGGGCGGGCAUGGGAAAUGUGGCGUAUAGAAGACCGCUUUGCCCGGUGUCGAUCGGGGGCCUGAGUCCUUCUGAUCGAGGCUCAGCCCGUGGACGGUGUGAGGCCGGUAACGGCCCCCGUCGCGCCGGGGUCCGGUCUUCUCGGAGUCGGGUUGCUUGGGAAUGCAGCCCAAAGUGGGUGGUAAACUCCAUCUAAGGCUNNNNNNNNNNNNNNNNNNNNGAAGGGUUCCAUGUGAACAGCAGUUGAACAUGGGUCAGUCGGUCCUAAGAGAUGGGCGAACGCCGUUCGGAAGGGAGUCGGGUUCAGAUCCCCGAAUCCGGAGUGGCGGAGAUGGGCGCCGCGAGGCGUCCAGUGCGGUAACGCGACCGAUCCCAGAGAAGCUGGCGGGAGCCCCGGGGAGAGUUCUCUUUUCUUUGUGAAGGGCAGGGCGCCCUGGAAUGGGUUCGCCCCGAGAGAGGGGCCCAAGCCCUGGAAAGCGUCGCGGUUCCGGCAGCGUCCGGUGAGCUCUCCUGGCCCUUGAAAAUCCGGGGGAGAGGGUGUAAAUCUUGCGCCGGGCCGUACCCAUAUCCGCAGCAGGUCUCCAAGGUGAACAGCCUCU